This is a non-coding RNA of Armillaria novae-zelandiae, 98 nucleotides long. NCBI's taxonomy places the organism in Eukaryota, Fungi, Basidiomycota, Agaricomycetes, Agaricales, Physalacriaceae. The record is from the annotation of a GenBank genome assembly.
GCCCGCCUAGCUCAAUCGGAUAGAGCGUCAGACUCUUAGAAUGCCAGGCGGUCGGUAUACGUAUCUGAAGGCUGCGAGUUCGACCCUCGCGGUGGGCU